RNAcentral lists this ribosomal RNA (253 nucleotides) under uncultured bacterium. RNAcentral's name for it is "partial 16S ribosomal RNA". It matches the Rfam family "Bacterial small subunit ribosomal RNA", at positions 524 to 776 of the family's 1533-position model. The record is from RNAcentral.
UACGUAGGGGGCGAGCGUUGUCCGAAGUUACUGGGCGUAAAGCGCGCGUAGGCGGGUCACUAAGUGAGAAGUGAAAGGCUGGGGCUCAACCGCAGCAGUGCUUCUCAUACUGGUGGUCUUGAGGGCGGUAGGGAGAAGUGGAAUGGCUGGUGUAGCGGUGAAAUGCGUAGAUAUCAGUCGGAACACCGGUGGCGAAGGCGGCUUCUUGGGCCGUUCCUGACGCUGAGGCGCGAAAGCCAGGGGAGCGAACGGG